GCUGGCGGCGUGGAUAAGACAUGCAAGUCGAACGACAAUCAGAGAGUAGCAAUAUUUUCUGGUUGGAGUGGCGCAAGGGUGCGUAACACGUGGGUAAUCUGCCGUGAAGUUGGGGAUAACUCGCUGAAAGGCGAGCUAAUACCGAAUGUGAUUGUUAGGAGGCAUCUCCAGACAAUCAAAGUUGGGGACCGAAAGGCCUGAUGCUUCACGAUGAGCCCGCGGCCUAUCAAGCUAGUUGGUGAGGUAACGGCCCACCAAGGCGAUGACGGGUAGCUGGUCUGAGAGGACGACCAGCCACACUGGAACUGAGACACGGUCCAGACACCUACGGGUGGCAGCAGUCGAGAAUUUUUCUCAAUGGGCGCAAGCCUGAAGGAGCGACGCCGCGUGGGGGAUGAAGGGCUUCGGCUCGUAAACCCCUGUCAUUUGCGAACAAUUCUGUUGGUCGAAUAAGCCAGCAGUUGAUAGUAGCAAAAGAGGAAGGGACGGCUAACUCUGUGCCAGCAGCCGCGGUAAUACAGAGGUCCCAAGCGUUGUUCGGAUUCACUGGGCGUAAAGGGUGCGUAGGCGGUAAGGUAAGUUUGGUGUGAAAUCUCCAGGCCUAACCUGGAAACUGCACUGAAUACUAUCUUGCUCGAGGGUCGGAGGGGAGACUGGAAUUCUCGGUGUAGCAGUGAAAUGCGUAGAUAUCGAGAGGAACACCAGUGGCGAAGGCGAGUCUCUGGACGAUUCCUGACGCUGAGGCACGAAAGCUAGGGGAGCAAACAGGAUUAGAUACCCUGGUAGUCCUAGCCCUAAACGGUGCACAUUUGCUGUGAGCGGAAUCGACCCCGUUCGUGGCGUAGCUAACGCAUUAAAUGUGCCGCCUGGGAAGUACGGCCGCAAGGUUAAAACUCAAAGAAAUUGACGGGGGCCUGCACAAGCGGUGGAGUAUGUGGCUUAAUUCGAUUCAACGCGAAGAACCUUACCUGGCCUUGACAUGUAGGUAGUAGAAGGAUGAAAGUCUGACGAGGUAGCAAUACCAGCCUACACAGGUGCUGCAUGGCUGUCGUCAGCUCGUGUCGUGAGAUGUUGGGUUAAGUCCCGCAACGAGCGCAACCCUCGUGUCCUGUUGCAAUCCGAAUGAGAGUUCGGAGCACUCUGGACAGACUGCCUCAUUUAAAUGAGGAGGAAGGUGAGGAUGACGUCAAGUCAGGAUGGCCCUUACGGCCAGGGCUGCACACGUACUACAAUGCGCGGCACAAAGAGAAGCAAGACCGCAAGGUGGAGCAAAUCUC
This 1277-nucleotide ribosomal RNA is filed under the name metagenome. RNAcentral's name for it is "bacterial SSU rRNA". It matches the Rfam family "Bacterial small subunit ribosomal RNA", at positions 35 to 1275 of the family's 1533-position model. The record is from RNAcentral.